ACGACUGCUAAGACUGGAUAGGAGAUAAGAAGGCAUCUUCUUAUUUUUAAAAGACCAAGCAAUAGGUAUGCUUAGGGAAGAGCUUGCGUCACAUUAGUUAGUUGGUGGGGUAAUGGCCUACCAAGACGAUGAUGUGUAGCCGGGCUGAGAGGUCGAACGGCCACAUUGGGACUGAGACACGGCCCAAACUCCUACGGGAGGCAGCAGUAAGGAAUUUUCGGCAAUGGAGGAAACUCUGACCGAGCAAUGCCGCGUGAACGAUGAAGUAUUUCGGUACGUAAAGUUCUUUUAUUAGGGAAGAAAGGAUGGUGGAAAAACCAUUAUGACGGUACCUAAUGAAUAAGCCCCGGCUAACUAUGUGCCAGCAGCCGCGGUAAUACAUAGGGGGCAAGCGUUAUCCGGAAUUAUUGGGCGUAAAGGGUGCGUAGGCGGUUAAAUAAGUUUAUGGUCUAAGUGCAACGCUCAACGUUGUGAUGCUAUAAAAACUGUUUAGCUAGAGUUGGAUAGAGGCAAGUGGAAUUCCGUGUGUAGUGGUAAAAUGCGUAAAUAUACGGAGGAACACCAGAAGCGAAGGCGGCUUGCUGGGUCUUAACUGACGCUGAGGCACGAAAGCGUGGGGAGCAAACAGGAUUAGAUACCCUGGUAGUCCACGCCCUAAACGAUGAGUACUAAACGUUGGAUAAAACCAGUGUUGAAGUUAACACAUUAGGUACUCCGCCUGAGUAGUACGUACGCAAGUAUGAAACUUAAAGGAAUUGACGGGACUCCGCACAAGCGGUGGAUCAUGUUGUUUAAUUCGAAGGUACCCGAAAAACCUCACCAGGUCUUGACAUGCUUUUGCAAAGCUGUAGAAAUACAGUGGAGGUUAUCAGAAGCACAGGUGGUGCAUGGUUGUCGUCAGCUCGUGUCGUGAGAUGUUGGGUUAAGUCCCGCAACGAGCGCAACCCUUGUUGUUAAUUGCCAUCAUUAAGUUGGGGACUUUAGCAAGACUGCCAAUGAUAAAUUGGAGGAAGGUGGGGACGACGUCAAAUCAUCAUGCCCCUUAUGACCUGGGCUACAAACGUGAUACAAUGGCUGUUACAAAGGGUAGCUAAAGCGUAAGCUUCUGGCGAAUCUCAAAAAAGCAGUCUCAGUUCGGAUUGAAGUCUGCAACUCGACUUCAUGAAGUUGGAAUCGCUAGUAAUCGCGAAUCAGCAUGUCGCGGUGAAUACGUUCUCGGGGUUUGUACACACCGCCCGUCA
Molecule: ribosomal RNA, 1241 nt
Filed under: 'Bois noir' phytoplasma
Lineage: Bacteria; Bacillati; Mycoplasmatota; Mollicutes; Acholeplasmatales; Acholeplasmataceae
Description: bacterial SSU rRNA
Rfam family: Bacterial small subunit ribosomal RNA
Source: RNAcentral